UACAGUCUUGGUCCUAAACUUACUGUUACUAGCAGCUAACAUUACACAUGCCAGUCUCCGCACACCGGUGCCCAAGCCCAAAACCCAGCCAACCGGAGCCGGCAUCAGGCACACCAGUAGGUAGCCCACAACGCCUAGCAUACGCCACACCCUCAAGGAACUCAGCAGUGAUAGACAUUAGGCAAUAAGCCCCCACGCUUGACCUAGGCCCAGCCCCCACCUUAAAGCCGGUAAACUCCGUGCCAGCCACCGCGGUUAUACGGCGGACUAAAAGUAACCACACACGGCGUAAAACGUGACUAGAGGCCCAGGCCUGCGCAACUGGGCGCACAACCUAGAUAAAGUUGUAGAACACCUAUAUCCGAAACUCAACAUGCCCCGCCCAACCACAGGCCCCCCUUGAUCACACGAAAACUAAGACACAAACUAGGAUUAGAUACCCUACUAUGCUUAGCCGUAAACCCUGAUAGCCCACAAACCAGCUAUCCGCCAGAGAACUACAAGCGAAAAGCUUGAAACUCAAAGGACUUGACGGUGCCCCACACCAACCUAGAGGAGCCUGUCCUAUAAUCGAUACUCCACGCUAUACCCUGCCAACUUUUGCACUAACAGCCUAUAUACCGCCGUCGCCAGCUUACCCUGUGAAAGCCCCAUAGUAAGCACAACAGCCAGCACUAAUACGUCAGGUCAAGGUGUAGCUAACAACUUGGAAGCGAUGGGCUACAUUUUCUUAUAAAGAAAACUACGGACUACAAAAUGAAACCAUGCCAUAAGGAGAAUUUAGCAGUAAAUUGGGCAAGUGUGCCAUAUUGAAGCCUGCCCUGGGGCGCGUACACACCGCCCGUCACCCUCAUCAACCUCCUUUUUCCCCCCCCCUAAAUAAAAACCCCACAACUCCCCUAGAUGAGACAAGUCGUAACAUGGUAAGCGUACUGGAAAGUGCGCUUGGAAAACC
RNAcentral lists this non-coding RNA (955 nucleotides) under Cyrtodactylus tigroides. Its description in RNAcentral is "12S ribosomal RNA". It matches the Rfam family "Bacterial small subunit ribosomal RNA". Lineage: Eukaryota; Metazoa; Chordata; Lepidosauria; Squamata; Gekkonidae. The record is from RNAcentral.